GACGAACGCUGGCGGCGUGCUUAACACAUGCAAGUCGAACGGAAAGGCCCUUCGGGGUACUCGAGUGGCGAACGGGUGAGUAACACGUGGGUGAUCUGCCCUGCACUUUGGGAUAAGCCUGGGAAACUGGGUCUAAUACCGAAUAGGACCACGCGCUUCAUGGUGUGUGGUGGCAAGCUUUUGCGGUGUGGGAUGGGCCCGCGGCCUAUCAGCUUGUUGGUGGGGUAAUGGCAUACCAAGGCGACGACGGGUAGCCGGCCUGAGAGGGUGACCGGCCACACUGGGACUGAGAUACGGCCCAGACUCCUACGGGAGGCAGCAGUGGGGAAUAUUGCACAAUGGGCGCAAGCCUGAUGCAGCGACGCCGCGUGAGGGAUGACGGCCUUCGGGUUGUAAACCUCUUUCAAUAGGGACGAAGCGCAAGUGACGGUACCUAUAGAAGAAGCACCGGCCAACUACGUG
This 462-nucleotide ribosomal RNA is filed under the name uncultured bacterium. RNAcentral describes it as "partial 16S ribosomal RNA". It matches the Rfam family "Bacterial small subunit ribosomal RNA", at positions 28 to 507 of the family's 1533-position model. The record is from RNAcentral.